GGCGAACGGGUGAGUAACACGUGGACAACCUGCCUCAAGGCUGGGGAUAACAUUUGGAAACAGAUGCUAAUACCGAAUAAAACUUAGUGUCGCAUGACACAAAGUUAAAAGGCGCUUCGGCGUCACCUAGAGAUGGAUCCGCGGUGCAUUAGUUAGUUGGUGGGGUAAAGGCCUACCAAGACAAUGAUGCAUAGCCGAGUUGAGAGACUGAUCGGCCACAUUGGGACUGAGACACGGCCCAAACUCAAACGGGAGGCUGCAGUAGGGAAUCUUCCACAAUGGGCGAAAGCCUGAUGGAGCAACGCCGCGUGUGUGAUGAAGGCUUUCGGGUCGUAAAGCACUGUUGUAUGGGAAGAACAGCUAGAAUAGGAAAUGAUUUUAGUUUGACGGUACCAUACCAGAAAGGGACGGCUAAAUACGUGCCAGCAGCCGCGGUAAUACGUAUGUCCCGAGCGUUAUCCGGAUUUAUUGGGCGUAAAGCGAGCGCAGACGGUUUAUUAAGUCUGAUGUGAAAGCCCGGAGCUCAACUCCGGAAUGGCAUUGGAAACUGGUUAACUUGAGUGCAGUAGAGGUAAGUGGAACUCCAUGUGUAGCGGUGGAAUGCGUAGAUAUAUGGAAGAACACCAGUGGCGAAGGCGGCUUACUGGACUGCAACUGACGUUGAGGCUCGAAAGUGUGGGUAGCAAACAGGAUUAGAUACCCUGGUAGUCCACACCGUAAACGAUGAACACUAGGUGUUAGGAGGUUUCCGCCUCUUAGUGCCGAAGCUAACGCAUUAAGUGUUCCGCCUGGGGAGUACGACCGCAAGGUUGAAACUCAAAGGAAUUGACGGGGACCCGCACAAGCGGUGGAGCAUGUGGUUUAAUUCGAAGCAACGCGAAGAACCUUACCAGGUCUUGACAUCCUUUGAAGCUUUUAGAGAUAGAAGUGUUCUCUUCCGGAGACAAA
RNAcentral lists this ribosomal RNA (948 nucleotides) under Leuconostoc mesenteroides. RNAcentral describes it as "bacterial SSU rRNA". It matches the Rfam family "Bacterial small subunit ribosomal RNA", at positions 97 to 1030 of the family's 1533-position model. The record is from RNAcentral. Lineage: Bacteria; Bacillati; Bacillota; Bacilli; Lactobacillales; Lactobacillaceae.